RNAcentral lists this ribosomal RNA (253 nucleotides) under uncultured bacterium. RNAcentral's name for it is "partial 16S ribosomal RNA". It matches the Rfam family "Bacterial small subunit ribosomal RNA", at positions 524 to 776 of the family's 1533-position model. The record is from RNAcentral.
UACAGAGGGUGCGAGCAUUGUUCGGAAUUAUUGGGCGUAAAGGGCGCGUAGGCGGUGCGGUAAGUCACCUGUGAAAUCUCCUGGCUCAACUGGGAGCUUGCAGGCGAAACUGCCGUGCUGGAGUGUGGGAGAGGCGCGUGGAAUUCCUGGUGUAGCGGUGAAGUGCGUAGAUAUCAGGAGGAACACCUGUGGCGAAAGCGGCGCACUGGACCACAACUGACGCUGAGGCGCGAAAGCUAGGGGAGCAAACAGG